AAGUCGUAACAAGGUUUCCGUAGGUGAACCUGCGGAAGGAUCAUUAUUGAAUAAAACUUGAGCAGGCUGUCUGCUGGCCCCCUUCCUGGGGGUAUGUGCACGCUUGUUCUUUGUUAUUUCUCCAACUUGUGCACAUUUUGUAGACCCUGGAGCUUUGUGGAUUUAACAUUCCGAGUCGGGACUGCUGUGCUUCCUCUUUGUGAAGUCGGCUUUGCCUUGCAUCUCCAGGUCUAUGUCAUUUAUUUUUAUCACAACCAUGUUUAGAAUGUUGGGAUCAGGUCUUUUUGUACCUAUAGAAAUGAAAUAUACAACUUUCAGCAACGGAUCUCUUGGCUCUCGCAUCGAUGAAGAACGCAGCGAAAUGCGAUAAGUAAUGUGAAUUGCGGAAUUCAGUGAAUCAUCGAAUCUUUGAACGCAUCUUGCGCUCCUUGGUAUUCCGAGGAGCAUGCCUGUUUGAGUGUCAUUCAACUCCUCAACCACAUUUGUUCAUCGAUUGUGGCUUGGAUGAUGGGGGUUUUGUUUGCAGGCUUCCUCUGUGAAAACAGAAAGGUCGGCUCCCCUGAAAUGUAUCAGUGGUAUCUGAGGCUAUUGCUAUAGGUGUGAUAAUUAUCUAUGCCCUUGGUAUGCCACAUGGAACUGCUUCCAACAGAGAUGAUCUUUUUGAUGAAUUUGACCUCAAAUCAGGUAGGACUACCCGCUGAACUUAAGCAUAUCAAUAAGCGGAGGAAAAGAAACUAACAAGGAUUCCCCUAGUAACUGCGAGUGAAGCGGGAAAAGCUCAAAUUUGAAAUCUGGCGGUUCCUUGGACCGUCCGAGUUGUAAUCUAGAGAAGUGUUACCUGUGCUGGACCGUGUACAAGUCUCCUGGAAUGGAGCAUCACAGAGGGUGAGAAUCCCGUCUUUGACACGGACUGCCUGUGCGAUAUGGUGUGCUCUCGAAGAGUCGAGUUGUUUGGGAAUGCAGCUCAAAAUGGGCGGUAAAUGCCAUCUAAAGCUAAAUAUUGGCGAGAGACCGAUAGCGAACAAGUACCGUGAGGGAAAGAUGAAAAGAACUUUGGAAAGAGAGUUAAACAGUACGUGAAAUUGCUGAAAGGGAAACGCUUGAAGUCAGUCGCGUUGUCCAGGGAUCAACCUUGCUUUUGCUUGGUGCAUUUUCUGGUUCGACGGGUCAGCAUCAAUUUUGAUCGUUGGAAAAAGGCUAAGGGAAUGUGGCAUCUUUGGAUGUGUUAUAGCCCUUGGUCACAUACAAUGGUUGGGAUUGAGGAACUCAGCACGCCGAAAGGUCGGGUUUUAAACCACGUACGUGCUUAGGAUGCUGGCAAUAUGGCUUUAAUCGACC
Molecule: ribosomal RNA, 1338 nt
Filed under: uncultured fungus
Lineage: Eukaryota; Fungi
Description: eukaryotic LSU rRNA
Rfam family: Eukaryotic large subunit ribosomal RNA (bases 671-1338)
Source: RNAcentral